This 932-nucleotide ribosomal RNA is filed under the name uncultured bacterium. RNAcentral's name for it is "partial 16S ribosomal RNA". It matches the Rfam family "Bacterial small subunit ribosomal RNA", at positions 1 to 842 of the family's 1533-position model. The record is from RNAcentral.
UGGGCCCUCUAGAUGCAUGCUCGAGCGGCCGCCAGUGUGAUGGAUAUCUGCNGAAUUCGCCCUUAGAGUUUGAUCCUGGCUCAGGAUGAACGCUGGCGGCGUGCCUAAUACAUGCAAGUCGAACGAAACUUCUUUAUCACCGAGUGCUUGCACUCACCGAUAAAGAGUUGAGUGGCGAACGGGUGAGUAACACGUGGGCAACCUGCCCAAAAGAGGGGGAUAACACUUGGAAACAGGUGCUAAUACCGCAUAACCAUAGUUACCGCAUGGUAACUAUGUAAAAGGUGGCUAUGCUACCGCUUUUGGAUGGGCCCGCGGCGCAUUAGCUAGUUGGUGGGGUAAAGGCUUACCAAGGCAAUGAUGCGUAGUCGAACUGAGAGGUUGAUCGGCCACAUUGGGACUGAGACACGGCCCAAACUCCUACGGGAGGCAGCAGUAGGGAAUCUUCCACAAUGGGCGAAAGCCUGAUGGAGCAACGCCGCGUGGGUGAAGAAGGUCUUCGGAUCGUAAAACCCUGUUGUUAGAGAAGAAAGUGCGUGAGAGUAACUGUUCACGUUUCGACGGUAUCUAACCAGAAAGCCACGGCUAACUACGUGCCAGCAGCCGCGGUAAUACGUAGGUGGCAAGCGUUAUCCGGAUUUAUUGGGCGUAAAGGGAACGCAGGCGGUCUUUUAAGUCUGAUGUGAAAGCCUUCGGCUUAACCGGAGUAGUGCAUUGGAAACUGGGAGACUUGAGUGCAGAAGAGGAGAGUGGAACUCCAUGUGUAGCGGUGAAAUGCGUAGAUAUAUGGAAGAACACCAGUGGCGAAAGCGGCUCUCUGGUCUGUAACUGACGCUGAGGUUCGAAAGCGUGGGUAGCAAACAGGAUUAGAUACCCUGGUAGUCCACGCCGUAAACGAUGAAUGCUAAGUGUUGGAGGGUUUCCGCCCUUCA